This 341-nucleotide small RNA is filed under the name Histoplasma capsulatum var. duboisii H88. RNAcentral describes it as "Histoplasma capsulatum H88 hypothetical RNA". The record is from RNAcentral. Lineage: Eukaryota; Fungi; Ascomycota; Eurotiomycetes; Onygenales; Ajellomycetaceae.
ACUAUGGAGAGGUUACAUACGAUCUGAUGCAGCGCACAGGGAGCCUGGCAGAGCUGAUGGUCUGACGUGGAAUUGGUGCUACAAGGAGCAAGGAGAAUUUGACUGACAGCCUGCCUAGUCCAUAAAACAGACAAAAGUCUUACAAUAACUUGCAGAAAAGAAAAAGAAAAAAGAAAAAAACCCCACCAUCACCACGGAACAAUUUUCCAUCAUCAGCCCCAACCUGGCAAUUUGAUCAGUGCAUAUACAUACAGUGCAUCUAUGCAUCAAAAAAUCACAAACUACAUGUCACGGAAGCAAGGGCGGAUUGGAAACUCUCCUUGUUCUCCUCUGAACCCACC